RNAcentral lists this ribosomal RNA (410 nucleotides) under uncultured bacterium. RNAcentral describes it as "bacterial SSU rRNA". It matches the Rfam family "Bacterial small subunit ribosomal RNA", at positions 954 to 1364 of the family's 1533-position model. The record is from RNAcentral.
GCACAACGCGAAGAACCUUACCUACUCUUGACAUCCAGAGAACUUAGCAGAGAUGCUUUGGUGCCUUCGGGAACUCUGAGACAGGUGCUGCAUGGCUGUCGUCAGCUCGUGUUGUGAAAUGUUGGGUUAAGUCCCGCAACGAGCGCAACCCUUAUCCUUUGUUGCCAGCGGUUCGGCCGGGAACUCAAAGGAGACUGCCAGUGAUAAACUGGAGGAAGGUGGGGAUGACGUCAAGUCAUCAUGGCCCUUACGAGUAGGGCUACACACGUGCUACAAUGGCGUAUACAAAGAGAAGCGACCUCGCGAGAGCAAGCGGACCUCAUAAAGUACGUCGUAGUCCGGAUUGGAGUCUGCAACUCGACUCCAUGAAGUCGGAAUCGCUAGUAAUCGUAGAUCAGAAUGCUACGGCG